Molecule: ribosomal RNA, 434 nt
Filed under: uncultured Lachnospiraceae bacterium
Lineage: Bacteria; Bacillati; Bacillota; Clostridia; Lachnospirales; Lachnospiraceae
Description: bacterial SSU rRNA
Rfam family: Bacterial small subunit ribosomal RNA
Source: RNAcentral
ACGGAAGGCAGCAGUGGGGAAUAUUGGUCAAUGGGGGCAACCCUGAACCAGCGACGCUGCGUGAGUGAAGAAGUAUUUCGGUAUGUAAAGCUCUAUCAGCAGGGAAGAUAAUGACAGUACCUGACUAAGAAGCACCGGCUAAAUACGUGCCAGCAGCCGCGGUAAUACGUAUGGUGCAAGCGUUAUCCGGAUUUACUGGGUGUAAAGGGAGCGUAGGCGGUAUGGCAAGUCUGAUGUGAAACCCCGGGGCUCAACCCCGGGCAUGCAUUGGAAACUGUCGGACUAGAGUGUCGGAGAGGAAAGCGGAAUUCCUAGUGUAGCGGUGAAAUGCGUAGAUAUUAGGAGGAACACCAGUGGCGAAGGCGGCUUUCUGGACGAUAACUGACGCUGAGGCUCGAAAGCGUGGGGAGCAAACAGGAUUAGAUACCCUGGUA